AUUAGUUUUAUAUAUAAAAGAGUCGGAAGACGAUAUUGUCGUCUUAUUACGAGAAAAGCCAGCAUCAAAUGAAGGAUAAUAACAUUUCGAUAUCGGGUUCUUAAUUGCGGUACAUGUAUAAUGUGCACAGUGUUAUUGAUUUGCGGUUCGUCGUGAUAAGUAGAUUUUUCUCUUAAACCAAUAAACACAUUCAUUUGUUUGUAUAUACUAAAGAUCGUGAUCCAGACGAUGUUAACGCAUCGGUGAAUUCUAUUAUAAAGCAUACACAGUGAAUUUACAAAACUUUGUUUAUUUUAAGAAAUAAAAAAUUAUAAAAAAACAGAAACGAACAAUGAAAGCGAUUUCCGAUGCAUCAUGUGCAACAGGCGUAGCAUCCGUACCAUCCACACAUACUGGUCGGAUCGGCCGGCAACGGGUCGGCGAAAAUGCUGAAAUUCAAAUGUACCUGUCCAAACUGAAAGAUCUAGUGCCAUAUAUGCCAAAGAAUAAGAAAUUGUCGAAAUUGGAAGUGAUAGAGAAUGUCAUCGAUUACAUCUGCGAACUACAAAGUGCAUUACAGAAAAACACAAAUUCGGCAGGCAUUGAUUUCGAUGCGAGUGCGGCAGCAACAUCGUUUGUUACACGACAACCUCUGGGUGUAGUGAAUGGUUGCGGUGAAUCUUUAAAUAAUAAUUGUUGAUUACGCAGCGCAACAACGUCAUCAAUGUACGACAAUAUUUCUGGUCGGAGAUUUUAACCGGACAAUUUCCGGAGAGAAUUUUAGAUUUUAUUUUCAUGAAUGGAGUCACAACAAAAUAAUUAUUUACAAGGAAAAUGUAAUUUAUUCAUCUUAUCUGAGUCCUUUAGAUCAACUGCUCAACCCGAAAUAUUUUAUUUUUGUUUGUUUUAAUAUUCUGUGAUCUGUAGAAUUAAUUUUUGUACAAAAUGUGUCAAUUGAAUCUUGUCAAUCUUGUAUUGGAGAAAUCGACACAAAAUAGAUGUAAAGAGUGCAGAGUGCAUAUUAUGUGUAAUUUUGUUAAUUUUAACCAUAAAACUAUUGUAACAGACGUAAUACCUAACCAAUCACAAACAAUUGCUUUUAAUUAAAAACAUUUUUGAUUGAA
Long non-coding RNA from Bradysia coprophila, 1103 nucleotides. Lineage: Eukaryota; Metazoa; Arthropoda; Insecta; Diptera; Sciaridae. The record is from RefSeq and is a predicted model, not a curated record.